RNAcentral lists this long non-coding RNA (357 nucleotides) under Physcomitrium patens. RNAcentral describes it as "long non-coding RNA (PPAT_LNC002662)". The record is from RNAcentral. Lineage: Eukaryota; Viridiplantae; Streptophyta; Bryopsida; Funariales; Funariaceae.
GAAAGAGGCUCCUCAGCAGCUUUCCGCAACGGGUAGCUCGCAAUCUGCGUCACUAUGAAGUCGAGGAGCUGCGACUGCAUACGUAUCCCAGAGACUCGGUGGGUGGUAGUCUGUGAUCGAUGCAAGCCGCGAGGUGGAGGUCCAUCGCUUUUUGGUCGAUUCCAAGUCUCUGCCCUGAGACACAACAUCUGUUUUUCUUAACGUAUUUUAGCGCGUUGAGAAAGGGCCACCAUGAAUUCUCCCCCUUUUUCACUAGUUCCAAGGGGCUUGCAAAUAUCUCAUGUGCAAGUUCCAAGGCUUUCGACAAUAACUUACAUCAUGCUGAUUGUAUCAAAAAAUAUGGUAGCUGGAUUCGAG